CACGUAGGGGGCGAGCGUUGUCCGGAUUUAUUGGGCGUAAAGAGCUCGUAGGCGGCUAAGUAAGUCGGGUGUGAAAACUCCAGGCUCAACCUGGAGACGCCACCUGAUACUGCUUUGGCUAGAGUCCGGUAGGGGAGCAUGGAAUUCCUGGUGUAGCGGUGAAAUGCGCAGAUAUCGGGAGGAACACCAAUUGCGAAGGCAGCUCGCUGGGACGUCACUGACGCUGAGACGCGAAAGCGUGGGGAGCAAACAGG
RNAcentral lists this ribosomal RNA (254 nucleotides) under uncultured bacterium. Its description in RNAcentral is "partial 16S ribosomal RNA". It matches the Rfam family "Bacterial small subunit ribosomal RNA", at positions 524 to 776 of the family's 1533-position model. The record is from RNAcentral.